This is a long non-coding RNA of Asterias rubens (European starfish), 1514 nucleotides long. RefSeq lists it as uncharacterized. The transcript has 3 exons. The record is from RefSeq and is a predicted model, not a curated record. Lineage: Eukaryota; Metazoa; Echinodermata; Asteroidea; Forcipulatida; Asteriidae.
UCGACCCAGGGAAGCUAAACGAACGCAUCCAGUAAAGGCCUAGAGUAUUAGUUUUGGCCUAGAGUAUUAGUUUUGGCCUAGAGUAUUAGUUUUGGCCUAUAGAUAUAAGACUAACUCUCUACUCUUUCAACAGGUUUUGAUGGAGAUGAGUUAAGUAUAAGGUGUGACUGGCGUAGUACUUAGUCUUGAUUUCAAGACGCUCAAUCUAAUUUCAUUUGCGGUGACAUAACUCACCCAAGGACAGUAAAACAAGAUCCAAACAAAAUAAUGUCUUGAACCAAAACUAAAAACUUAGUCUCGUUUCAAGAUGUUCAAUCUCAUUUUAUUUGCGGUGCAACAACUGACAAUGGACGGUAAACACACUAUCCUAAAAAAAGAGUACAAGAUAGUGUCUUGAACCAAAACUAAGAACUACGCUGUCUUAAGUAAACGCAGAGCUUGAAGAUGGAGACUCUCCCUUCGAUGUUCCUGAGUGACUAGAGGUCAAUGAGGCCAGCAGCUUGGAGCAAAGGUUGGAGCAAAGUAUCGGGUAUAAGUAUUGGUAUAAGUGGGACAGAAAAAUAACCCCUCCCCUCCACGGCUCUUACAUUUUCUACACAUUAUAUGAGAUUUAACAUUUAUUUUCCACAUCCACUGACCGGCUUCCAGGCCAUAGUUUCUUUUGUUUGUUUUCCAGAGUCUGGACCCGUUCCUCCUGAAAAAGAUGUUGUGGCAGAUGACGUGCAGACGAAGCAGUCCUGAAACUCCCUUUGAUGUUGCCGAUUCAUGACCUGAUGUCACUGGGUUUGAUGAGGUCUUUGCAGCAAAGGUUUAUAAGUAUCAUAUUGAGUUACAUCAGCUGAGGAAGAACUUUGCCAGUUAAAGCUCUGUGACUUUUUGCUACAACUUCAACCGUUCAAGAUAGCGAUGACCAGCACUAUUGGACCAGAGCAAAGAGUCACAAACAUCAUUUUGGUUGAGUUGAUGAUCUUGGAGAUGACAUUUGGGCUCAUCAUAACUUUUUCGACCGAGUGCACCAGCUGAAGAAGGACUGCGUCAAAUCUAGCUACCUGACUCUCUGCUACAAGUUCAACCGUUCAAGUGACGAAGGGAUGUUGUCCGGGGAUUUAACCACCACUUUUUGGACUGAACAGCUGAAGAUCUGGGUCAUAGUUCAAGUAUCAAAGAGACAAUAAUAAUGAUAGAACACUUCUUAGAACAAACUCUCCUCCAAAGGUGAUUUUACACAUGGUUGUACCAUGGAACUUUACUAGUUGUAGUCAAUGAUUGAUUUCCACACCAUGCUAAGCUUCAAUGCUUUUUGGACCGUCACUGACUGAUGAAAGACUGUGUCAAGUCUAGGUGAUCACCCACACGCUCAACUAACACGAGCUGGACGAUGAGGGCGCCUGCUAUGAUGACGCUUGAGUGGAGGACCACAUACAUGAAGAACCAUAGGACCAGGGCCAAUUUCAUAGAGCUGCUUAACCAGAAAAUAUUGCUUAACAACUUUCUGCUAACAGAAAUGAGAAGGA